GGCGCCCAAGUGGCGGGCGGGAGGGCCCCACCACACCGGCAGUUUCAACAAAAAUUCAAAAUUCAAAAAACUAACCCAAAAAUAAAACAAUUGAAAAACCCCGAUAAAUAAGUCAGCUUUUUUGCAGAAGAACAAAAGGGAAAGAAAUCUCUCCUCUCUCUCUCUUUUAUCUUUUCAAUUCUCUGGUUCUUUUUUUAUUUGAAUCUCCAGUUUCUUCUUCCUCCUUCCUUCCCUUUUCUGCUUUGUUGACCUUCAAUUUGGAAUCGAGAGGAAAGGGUUGGAUCGAGUUGUUCUUCUUCUUAUAAGGAGGGAAAGGAAAAAUGAGAGAGGUCAUCAGUCUACACAUUGGACAAGCUGGAAUUCAGGUCG
Molecule: long non-coding RNA, 369 nt
Filed under: Linum usitatissimum (flax)
Lineage: Eukaryota; Viridiplantae; Streptophyta; Magnoliopsida; Malpighiales; Linaceae
Description: long non-coding RNA (LUSI_LNC001369)
Source: RNAcentral